RNAcentral lists this long non-coding RNA (368 nucleotides) under Cercocebus atys (sooty mangabey). Its description in RNAcentral is "lncRNA (ENSCATG00000045629.1)". Lineage: Eukaryota; Metazoa; Chordata; Mammalia; Primates; Cercopithecidae. The record is from RNAcentral.
GUUGAGUCCUCCUUACAGGGCGAGUUCUCUGACAAGGAAGUUUUGCAACCUAAUUUACAGCUGGAGCCAAGCUUGUCAGUGAGUGCCAGAGGGAAACUGUCGCAAUCGGCUGGCUAAGUAUAUUCAUUUAACAAGGGAAGUCUCAGAGGAGCUAUCAAAAACUGCUUGCCAUCUUUCCAAAUCAUCUCUGUCUGCAGUGGCCAUGUCUUAAUCCUGAAGGACAACAAGGAAACUGGGGAGGGAAUCAUGUUCCAGCAGUGAAGAACAAAGGCAGUUGUUUGGAGAUUUACAUAUUCCAUCUCCUACAAAGUUAAAAAAAGUUUUCUUUUCCUGAAAGACUACAAUCAAGCUACAAACAUGCAUAAUGG